GCUGGGUGUGGUGGCACAUGCCUGUAACCUCAGCAGCUUGGGAGGCUGAGACAGGAGAAUCCCGAGUUAAAAGCCACCCUCAGCAAUAGUGAGGCACUAAGAAACUCAGUGAGACCCUGUCUCUA
Molecule: small RNA, 125 nt
Filed under: Marmota monax (woodchuck)
Lineage: Eukaryota; Metazoa; Chordata; Mammalia; Rodentia; Sciuridae
Source: RNAcentral